GACGAACGCUGGCGGCGUGCCUAAUACAUGCACGUAGAACGCUGAAGGUGGAGCUUGCUUCUCUGGUUGAGUUGCGCACGGGUGAGUAACGCGUAGGUAACCUGCCUGGUAGCGGGGGAUAACUAUUGGAAACGAUAGCUAAUACCGCAUAAUAGUAGAUGUUGCAUUACAUUUUCUUAAAAGGUGCAAUUGCCUCACUACCAGCUGUACCUGCGUUGUAUUAGCUAGUUGGUGAGGUCACGGCUCACCAAGGCGACGAUACAUAGCCGACAUGAGAGGGUGAUCGGCCACACUGGGCCGGAGACACGGCCCAGACUCCUACGGGAGGCAGCAGUAGGGAAUCUGCGGCAAUGGACGGCAGUCUGACCGAGAAACGCCGCGUGAGUGCAGAAGGUUGUCGGAUCGUAAAGAUCUGUUGUAAGAGAAGAACGAGGGUGAGCGUGGAAAGUUCACACUGUGACGGUAUCUUACCAGAAAGCGACGGCUAACUACGUG
RNAcentral lists this ribosomal RNA (495 nucleotides) under uncultured bacterium. RNAcentral's name for it is "partial 16S ribosomal RNA". It matches the Rfam family "Bacterial small subunit ribosomal RNA", at positions 28 to 507 of the family's 1533-position model. The record is from RNAcentral.